Molecule: ribosomal RNA, 734 nt
Filed under: uncultured Cellulosimicrobium sp.
Lineage: Bacteria; Bacillati; Actinomycetota; Actinomycetes; Micrococcales; Promicromonosporaceae
Description: bacterial SSU rRNA
Rfam family: Bacterial small subunit ribosomal RNA
Source: RNAcentral
GACGAACGCUGGCGGCGUGCUUAACACAUGCAAGUCGAACGAUGAUGCCCAGCUUGCUGGGCGGAUUAGUGGCGAACGGGUGAGUAACACGUGAGUAACCUGCCCUUGACUUCGGGAUAACUCCGGGAAACCGGGGCUAAUACCGGAUAUGAGCCGUCCUCGCAUGGGGGUGGUUGGAAAGUUUUUCGGUCAGGGAUGGGCUCGCGGCCUAUCAGCUUGUUGGUGGGGUGAUGGCCUACCAAGGCGACGACGGGUAGCCGGCCUGAGAGGGCGACCGGCCACACUGGGACUGAGACACGGCCCAGACUCCUACGGGAGGCAGCAGUGGGGAAUAUUGCACAAUGGGCGAAAGCCUGAUGCAGCGACGCCGCGUGAGGGAUGGAGGCCUUCGGGUUGUAAACCUCUUUCAGCAGGGAAGAAGCGCAAGUGACGGUACCUGCAGAAGAAGCGCCGGCUAACUACGUGCCAGCAGCCGCGGUAAUACGUAGGGCGCAGGCGUUGUCCGGAAUUAUUGGGCGUAAAGAGCUCGUAGGCGGUUUGUCGCGUCUGAUGUGAAAACUCGAGGCUCAACCUCGAGCUUGCAUCGGGUACGGGCAGACUAGAGUGCGGUAGGGGAGACUGGAAUUCCUGGUGUAGCGGUGGAAUGCGCAGAUAUCAGGAGGAACACCGAUGGCGAAGGCAGGUCUCUGGGCCGCAACUGACGCUGAGGAGCGAAAGCAUGGGGAGCGAACAGG